UUGGAUCAUGUCACAGGCAGAUUUACCAUUCUGCCCCGAAUACAUUAGCAUGGGAUAAUGGAAUAGGACCCUGUCCUCCUAUUUACGUGUUGGUUUUUGAGGACCAGGGUAAUGAUUAAUAGGGAUAGUUGGGGGCAUUAAUAUUUAAUUGUCACAGGUGAAAUUCUUGGAUUUAUGAAAAAUAACCUUCAGCCAACGCCUACCGCGACGACGUUUUCCUUCCUCACCAACGAGCGUCUCCAAAUCGAAAACAACCACUCACCGCCCAUAUCUUAUCCCUCAACAUCAGCCCCUCCCUCGUUCAUACAACUAUGACCAACAACUCCCACCAUAUCCCCUCCACCCUACAAUACCCACCCAUCUACUCUAACCUAAAUUCUCUCUCCCCUUCUCUCACCCUCCAUCUAACUUCUCCACACCCCCUACAAACCAUUCAUCUUUUCCCUCCAUUCC
This 453-nucleotide ribosomal RNA is filed under the name Acanthamoeba sp. MA27. RNAcentral's name for it is "bacterial SSU rRNA". The stretch from base 35 to 221 matches the Rfam family "Eukaryotic small subunit ribosomal RNA", at positions 794 to 974 of the family's 1831-position model. Lineage: Eukaryota; Discosea; Longamoebia; Acanthamoebidae. The record is from RNAcentral.